GGGGCCUUAGCAUAGCUGGUUUAUUGCGCCUCAUUUGCAAUGAGGAGGUCAAGGGUUCGAAUCCCUUAGGCUCCA
Molecule: transfer RNA, 75 nt
Filed under: Candidatus Dojkabacteria bacterium
Lineage: Bacteria
Description: tRNA-Ala
Rfam family: tRNA
About the family: Transfer RNA (tRNA) molecules are approximately 80 nucleotides in length. Their secondary structure includes four short double-helical elements and three loops (D, anti-codon, and T loops).
Source: RNAcentral